RNAcentral lists this ribosomal RNA (430 nucleotides) under uncultured Gammaproteobacteria bacterium. Its description in RNAcentral is "bacterial SSU rRNA". It matches the Rfam family "Bacterial small subunit ribosomal RNA", at positions 9 to 440 of the family's 1533-position model. The record is from RNAcentral. Lineage: Bacteria; Pseudomonadati; Pseudomonadota; Gammaproteobacteria.
GAGUUUGAUCGUGGCUCAGAUUGAACGCUGGCGGCAUGCCUAACACAUGCAAGUCGAACGGUAACGCGGGGGCAACCCUGGCGACGAGUGGCGGACGGGUGAGUAAUACGUAGGAAUCUGCCCAUUUGUGGGGGAUAACCCGGCGAAAGCCGGGCUAAUACCGCAUACGCUCUACGGAGGAAAGCGGGGGAUCGUAAGACCUCGCGCUAAUGGAUGAGCCUACGUCGGAUUAGCUAGUUGGUAGGGUAAUGGCCUACCAAGGCGACGAUCCGUAGCUGGUCUGAGAGGACGAUCAGCCACACUGGGACUGAGACACGGCCCAGACUCCUACGGGAGGCAGCAGUGGGGAAUAUUGGACAAUGGGGGCAACCCUCGAUCCAGCAAUGCCGCGUGUGUGAAGAAGGCCUGCGGGUUGUAAAGCACUUUCAGA